Molecule: ribosomal RNA, 253 nt
Filed under: uncultured bacterium
Lineage: Bacteria
Description: partial 16S ribosomal RNA
Rfam family: Bacterial small subunit ribosomal RNA
Source: RNAcentral
UACGUAGGAGGCAAGCGUUGUCCGGAAUCACUGGGCGUAAAGCGCGUGUAGGCGGAUCGCUAAGUCUGUGGUGAAAGCGCCUGGCUUAACCGGGCGAGGUCCAUGGAAACUAGCGGUCUGGAGGCCGGUAGAGGGGGGUGGAAUUCCGGGUGUAGUGGUGAAAUGCGUAGAGAUCAGCAGGAACACCCGUGGCGAAGGCGGCCCCCUGGGCCGUACCUGACGCUGAGGCGCGAAGGCUAGGGGAGCGAACGGG